This is a long non-coding RNA of Micropterus dolomieu (smallmouth bass), 698 nucleotides long. RefSeq lists it as uncharacterized. The transcript has 2 exons. Lineage: Eukaryota; Metazoa; Chordata; Actinopteri; Centrarchiformes; Centrarchidae. The record is from RefSeq and is a predicted model, not a curated record.
AUAAUACCAUAACUAAGUGUACAGCCUUUCUGUCCAUGUGGCCUCACACACAAAGUCAACAGUGAAAGGAAUGCUAUCCAUCUGACAAGAAAGCAGCGGACAGUACAGCAGGAUCACCGCCUGCUCCUCUGCCUCACGUUUGCCUUCUGCUGGACAGCCAGCCAUGCAUCCCCCUUUCGCCACUGCCCACGCCAUCUCAUCUGACAUUAUUCUCAAACUUCCUUCAGAUGCCUUCAGAUCUCCAACCCUAAUCAUCUUUUGUUCAUCUCAUGCCCCUACACCAUCACAACACUGUGGGCACAAUGCAUCAUUUUUCACCUACUACCUCUAUGAUCCAAAAGAGGUGAUAAAGCAGAUCCAAACUCCUCCACCUGCUUCCUUGACCCACAAUUUUUUUUUCAAAGAACCCCUUAGACCCAUAAGCAACUACAGACCAAUCUCCAAUAUCCCUUUUCCUAGUAAAAUAUUUGAAAAGAAUGUCUACAAACAACUGCAUAAUUACCUCUCCCUCCACAAUCUAUAUGAUGUGGAUCAAUCUGGCUUCAGGACCAGCCACAGCACUGAAACAGCUUUGAAGUAGUCAGUGAUUGAAAGAUCAACAAUGCUGCAAACAAACCUUCUAUCCUAGUAUUUCUGGAACGGACUGCAGCCUUAGAUACUGUCAACCACAGCAUUUUAAUCAGUAAACUAGAAAAUUC